This 565-nucleotide ribosomal RNA is filed under the name uncultured Rhodospirillaceae bacterium. RNAcentral describes it as "bacterial SSU rRNA". It matches the Rfam family "Bacterial small subunit ribosomal RNA", at positions 335 to 916 of the family's 1533-position model. Lineage: Bacteria; Pseudomonadati; Pseudomonadota; Alphaproteobacteria; Rhodospirillales; Rhodospirillaceae. The record is from RNAcentral.
ACUCCUACGGGAGGCAGCAGUGGGGAAUAUUGGACAAUGGGCGCAAGCCUGAUCCAGCAAUGCCGCGUGAGUGAGGAAGGCCUUCGGGUUGUAAAGCUCUUUCACCCACGACGAUGAUGACGGUAGUGGGAGAAGAAGCCCCGGCUAACUUCGUGCCAGCAGCCGCGGUAAUACGGAGGGUGCGAGCGUUGUUCGGAAUUACUGGGCGUAAAGCGCGUGUAGGCGGCCUUGCAAGUCAGGCGUGAAAGCCCUCGGCUUAACCGGGGAAGUGCGUCUGAAACUGCUUGGCUUGAGUACGGGAGAGGGAGGCGGAAUUCCCAGUGUAGAGGUGAAAUUCGUAGAUAUUGGGAGGAACACCGGUGGCGAAAGCGGCCUCCUGGACCGAUACUGACGCUGAGACGCGAAAGCGUGGGGAGCAAACAGGAUUAGAUACCCUGGUAGUCCACGCGGUAAACGAUGGGCACUAGGUGUGGGGGGUAUCCACUCCUCCCGUGCCGAAGCUAACGCAUUAAGUGCCCCGCCUGGGGAGUACGGCCGCAAGGUUAAAACUCAAAUGAAUUGACGG